Triticum aestivum (bread wheat) is the source of this 135-nucleotide non-coding RNA. The record is from Rfam. Lineage: Eukaryota; Viridiplantae; Streptophyta; Magnoliopsida; Poales; Poaceae.
CAAAUACUCCCUCCGUCUGGAAAUACUUGUCAUCAAAAUGGAUAAAAGGAAAUGUAUCUAGACGUAUUUUAGUUUUAGAUACAUCUUUUUUUAUACAUUUUGAUCACAAGUAUUUUCGGACAGAGGGAGUAGAAA